Cucurbita maxima (winter squash) is the source of this 594-nucleotide long non-coding RNA. RefSeq lists it as uncharacterized. The transcript has 2 exons. NCBI's taxonomy places the organism in Eukaryota, Viridiplantae, Streptophyta, Magnoliopsida, Cucurbitales, Cucurbitaceae. The record is from RefSeq and is a predicted model, not a curated record.
GAGAGGGGGAGCAGUGGAGAUGAACGACGGAGCUUGAAGCGCCCGUUAGCUACGGUGGGCUGAACGGUUGAGGAAGGGAGAAUGCCGACGGUUAUUGUCGAGGGAAGUUGGUGAGUCCUUGUGAAGAAGAAGACAUGGGGUGUUGAGAGGAAAGAAAGAUCAAGAAGAAGGUGGGAAGAAGAGGCCGAAAACUGAGAGGGCACGACCUGACCUGACCCCACCCACCUGUACUGAACCGAAACCCCAUUUGUUUUCCCAUUUCACACCAUCUGAUUUGUCUUUAUUCAGAUUUAGGUACUUGACUCACACAUUCCAUAAAUGCCUUAUUAUAGGAAAAUUUCAAGCUUAGUUAAGGGGACACUUGAAGACUCAAUAAAGUUUUAGGAAGUCUACGAGUAGGUAAGUAACCAUCUAGAGCAAGUUUUUAUGUAAUUUCUUGUAGGAGUCGGUUUGGAUUUGUGGCCAAACAAUUUAGUAACGUAUUUAGGAAUGGGUAAAGUUAGUUCAUGGAGGUGGUACUUCGAUAAUGUGUGUGGUUGUACUUUGGUUGUUGUUAUGGUUAUAUAGUUUCGUUGGCAUGAAUGUGAAAUUUCG